This 468-nucleotide ribosomal RNA is filed under the name uncultured bacterium. Its description in RNAcentral is "partial 16S ribosomal RNA". It matches the Rfam family "Bacterial small subunit ribosomal RNA", at positions 28 to 507 of the family's 1533-position model. The record is from RNAcentral.
GACGAACGCUGGCGGCGUGCUUAACACAUGCAAGUCGAACGGAAAGGCCCUGCUUUUGUGGGGUGCUCGAGUGGCGAACGGGUGAGUAACACGUGAGUAACCUGCCCUUGACUUUGGGAUAACUUCAGGAAACUGGGGCUAAUACCGGAUAGGAGCUCCUGCUGCAUGGUGGGGGUUGGAAAGUUUCGGCGGUUGGGGAUGGACUCGCGGCUUAUCAGCUUGUUGGUGGGGUAGUGGCUUACCAAGGCUUUGACGGGUAGCCGGCCUGAGAGGGUGACCGGCCACAUUGGGACUGAGGUACGGCCCAGACUCCUACGGGAGGCAGCGGUGGGGAAUAUUGCACAGUGGGCGGAAGCCUGAUGCAGCAACGCCGCGUGCGGGAUGACGGCCUUCGGGUUGUAAACCGCUUUCGCCUGUGACGAAGCGUGAGUGACGGUAAUGGGUAAAGAAGCACCGGCUAACUACGUG